This 292-nucleotide ribosomal RNA is filed under the name uncultured bacterium. Its description in RNAcentral is "partial 16S ribosomal RNA". It matches the Rfam family "Bacterial small subunit ribosomal RNA", at positions 505 to 796 of the family's 1533-position model. The record is from RNAcentral.
GUGUCAGCCGCCGCGGUAAAACGUAGGUGGCGAGCGUUAUCCGGAUUUACUGGGCGUAAAGCGUGUGCAGGCGGACGGGCAAGUGGUGUAUGAAAGCUCCAGGCUUAACCUGGAGAGGUUAUGCCAGACUGCACGUCUUGAGGCAGAGAGAGGGACAUGGAAUUCCGGGUGUAGUGGUGAAAUGCGUAGAGAUCCGGAGGAACUCCAGAGGCGAAGGCGGUGUCCUGGCUCUGACCUGACGCUCAGACACGAAAGCAUGGGGAGCGAACGGGAUUAGAAACCCGAGUAGUCC